GUUCUAAGUACAGUAAAAUUCUGUUUUUGCCCUUGGAUUUUUGUCGUAAUUUCAGGCUGCCAUUGGUGUGUGCAUAACCGCGAGGUCUGGAAGCCUCUGUCUAGAGUCAGGGUCAGCCACCGACAUCAACAGCGAAAAAAAGCUUGGUAUCCCAGUUUCCAAUUCUCCAAAAUUUCUAACCCCCUUAACCCAAUCGAAUCGAAGUCCUCCUCUUUCCGCUCUCCACCCAAUCGUAAAGGCUUGGCUAUUUUGAUUUGUACAACGAGAGAGGUGAAGAUGAGGAAGAGGAGGAGGACAAUGAAGAAGAGGGCGAUGUUGAUGUUAUUCCGGGCGAUGCAGCUGAAGCAGAAUAAGAAGAAGAAGAAGAAGAUGACGAUGAGGUUAAAGUUGUUGUGAAGCUUAAAACUUGGCAAUUUUGGAGAUUGGCUUCAGCUUUAAAAGUCGGUUGCCCCAAAACAAGUGGUAAUUUUCUACCUUGCAGAAAGUGUUAAUAUGAAAAUGGAAACAAUGGGAAGAACAAAUUGAUGAUUUCAUGUAUGACGAAGAUCUUGCUGCCGCUAUGCGAGCUGUGGAGGUCUGUUAAUGAAUUUUGUCCAUAAGAUUCUAUAAGGGUACCAUGCUCUCCCAUUUUCCUUUUGCACGCCAUUUUCUAAGCUUUUUCAUAUGAUUUAAUGCAAACAUCAAGAUUAACAUUUUGGAUUCGGUUAGAGGGUCAAGGUCAUAUUUUCAAGCUUUUCCUAAGUGCCUUCAACCACAGCAUGUGCCGACAAGCCCUUGACUUAGGGUUACAGGACAGUGGUAAUGGUGUGGUUAUGCAUUCUGUUACAACUGUGGAGUACAACGGUACAACCUGUAGCUCAUACAGCUACCUGUCGAAGCUGUUAUAAUGUUGUCGGGUUCUGGUACACGAGAAGUUUGAAAAGUGUAGUCACACAGACAUGUCCUCAUAAAUAGUCUCGCAGGAUGUAUUUUAUUCUUCAGGUGAAUUUCCUCAAGAACUUCAAAUCCAAACCCGCUUCUGAAAAUCAGGUAUAUUUGAAUACCCUUUUAGUCUCAUAGUGAUUUUCAAUCUCUAGAAUGCUGACUGACACAAUCUGCUUUAUUAGAAUCUAGAUUUUGGAUCUGGAAUUGAGAUUUUUGUAGGCUUUGUAUUCAUAGACCUAAGAAAUAACAUGUUAACAAUUUAACAACAGAGCAAUCUCAAAAUAGGAAAACCAACCUUUGAUAGAGACUCGAGUAAAAGUAGAAAAAUAAAUGAUGCUUAUAUUGAUGAAGUCUUAAUUAAAAUUCUCUGACAGAGUAGCUGCAACUACUUAUUUUCUUCCUCUUCUAAAUCCCAAGGGAUGCUUAUGGAAAACCAUAUUCUGCAACAAGGCCUGUGGAGAUAAAGAAGUUUGAAUAGUAUCAGCAAAGCUGAAAAGGCCUGAUGCUGUCUCUAACUUACAUUUAUUGUCCUUUACUCUUUAAGUCUUAAAAGUAUUUACAUUUGGACAUCUGAAUCUUCAUAUCAUGCUGAAUUGAACUUUCCAGUUCUUGGGUAAAUAGUAAAACCUUUUAGUUCCAUUGCUUUAUGCCUUUUUGCUUUCCUGGGCUUUCAGAUUAGUGGAAGUGUUAACUGGCUCAUUGGUCACAAUUAUUGAGCUUGGGUGAAUAGUCAGUCUCAAACACUAUUUGAUACUAACUUUAUUUUUGGUAUUGCGUUCAUAAGAAAGAUAUCAGGAUGGCACUAUUUCAUGAGUUCAGCGGUUAUAGUUCUUGAACAAGGGGGAGACAAAAUCAUAAAACAAGUGCAUAUGUCAUGAAAUAAAUUCUGUUAUUGUGUAUACGUGGACAAAAGAAUCAAGUGCAUUUCGUGAAGAUUGAAGAAGUGAUAACUCUGUUUCGUUAGAAAGAUCAAAAUGUUUAGCAGUUGUUGAAUGUGAUAUUAAACCUCAAAAUUUGAGGAAUUCUUCUCAAAGCUAAAACUGCUUGGACUCUCUAAGAGGGUCUGAAGGCUUUAAAAUAAUAUUUAUUACAAGUCAUAUCAGUAUGAUCAAAAGAAUCCCUACGGCAGGGUCUGUUAACAGAAUAUCAGAAGAGAUCAGAGACGAGAACUUCUCCUUCUUGCCACCUGUCCUGUAUUUCAAAAUCAAGUAAUAACUAUAUUCCUCUGUUUUUCAUAUUUAUAUCAUUGUUAUGGUUAACAAUGGAAUGUGCAAUACCUUACAUGAACAAUAUAAAGGUGUAGUGCUUUUUUUUUUUAGAUGACUGCAUUAAUCUUAGUCAUAUCAUGACUGUAUGCAUUCUAUGUUUUCGAUCUUCUAUAUAUUGGUUUUGAAAAAUUUAAGGUAGCACCUGAAAUUAGGGUAGUGCUUUUUUUUUUUUAAUUUCUUCAUUCUGUUCUGUUUAUUAUGUCUUUGUCCUGUCUCCAUUAGGUCUGUAACAAUUAGAGUUUGCAUGUAAGUAAGCUUACAUCUUACUGAUCAGUAUAACAUAUGCUUAUCUUCUUUUAAAAUUUUAUUAUCUGCUAUAACGUUCAUUUGCAUUUGGAGUCUUAAGUUAGACAAAAGAUAGUGUAAUCAGAAUACUUUGUGGUGGGCAUGAUCAAACAACAUAUAUUAGGAGAGAAUCACUAUAAGCCUGACCGAUGAUAAUAAAUUUAAAAAAUAGGAGCAGGGGAGUGGAAUCACCUUGAUGAUUCUCCCAUUUUCCUUUUUCACAUUAUAUACAUGACAUGCACUGUCGAUUCCUUGCAUCCUUUUGAAGAGUCAGUUCUAGCUGUUCAACUACUGUGGUUUGAUACCUGCUGGAUGCACUUGGAACUUUUAGUUCAAUUGCAGCUUUGGGCAUUGAAUUUUCCUCUAAUGAUUAGCCUUUGGUUUAGGUUUUGAUAGAGAGCUCUUUAUAACCUGAAAUUUCUUUUAGUUCUAAUAUCGCUGUCUCAAGAACUAUAUAUUUUCUCUGUUAUCUGCAAACUUACCGGUACUUGCUACAUAUUCAACUAUCAGUUCUUAUUCGGCUUCUACUGCAUUCUUACUUUGUCUUGACUAAUUAGAUGAACCUCUGUGAGGAAUUGAAAGCAGUAAAGGAUGUGGAGUCAAAACCAACCAAUGCUGCGAACAAGGAACCAGCCAAAAAUGCGAAGUCUCAACUGUAAUCAUAGACAAGUUUUUGCUGUCUAAUGUGUAAUAUGUACAUAUAGUACCAGAUUUGAAAUGAUGUAUAAUGUAUAUAUAAUUUUGAAAUCUGGCUAUAGUAUCCAAUUUGAGAACAUGUAAAAUAAUGUGUAGUUGUAUAUGCAAUUUUGAAAUCUGGCUGAAGUACCAAAUUUUGGAUCAUGUAAAACAAUGUCUGAUGUAUAUGUAUAACGCAAUUAUAUAACGUGCCUAAUGUUUGUAAA
Rosa chinensis is the source of this 3379-nucleotide long non-coding RNA. RefSeq lists it as uncharacterized. NCBI's taxonomy places the organism in Eukaryota, Viridiplantae, Streptophyta, Magnoliopsida, Rosales, Rosaceae. The record is from RefSeq and is a predicted model, not a curated record. The transcript is spliced from 4 exons.